GCAGUCUUUAAAACUUCUUUGAUAUAUACAUGAUAUAUGAUACAAAUCAGAACUGAGUAUUGAAUUAUUUUAAAGGAUCUGAAUAUUUUCAUGCAAAGCAAACUUAUCUUCGACAAAUCUUGGAUCAGAUAAUUUGCAAGCAUAUUUUCAUACUUGUCAAUUAUAAUGAUCUGAGUUAAUUUUACAAAAGUCAUAAAUAUGUGCACGUUAGUUUUGUCAGACCAAAUGAGAAAAAUUAAAUCAAAAGGAAAAAAAUUUAAAAACUACUGCCUAUCAUUUCAAAUAAUUCACAAACCUAUAAUUUGUUUCUUGUGUAGUUUUUGACCAACUUAUAGCAUGCCAGACUUAAAAGUUACGUAAUAAUAUAGACAUGCAGACGUGUAACAGUAAGCUAAAAAUAACAGGAAAUAAUUCAGUCGGUACGUGCAGAUGUGUAACAAUGAAUAAAAAGGUCAAGAGAUAAUUUGACGCUGAAAGUGGUUUGACAGAUAAAAAAUAAAAUGGAAAUGUACUAAAUUGUGUUCAGAAUUAAAUUAAUAACAAUUGAAAAUGUUCAAUUCUUUAAAGUAGAC
This 572-nucleotide long non-coding RNA is filed under the name Mytilus galloprovincialis (Mediterranean mussel). Lineage: Eukaryota; Metazoa; Mollusca; Bivalvia; Mytilida; Mytilidae. The record is from RNAcentral.